AUUGAACGCUGGCGGCAGGCCUAACACAUGCAAGUCGAGCGGUAACAGAGAGUAGCUUGCUACUCUGCUGACGAGCGGCGGACGGGUGAGUAAUGCUUGGGAAUAUGCCUUAUGGUGGGGGACAACAGUUGGAAACGACUGCUAAUACCGCAUGAUGUCUAUGGACCAAAGUGGGGGACCUUCGGGCCUCACGCCAUAAGAUUAGCCCAAGUGGGAUUAGCUAGUUGGUGAGGUAAUGGCUCACCAAGUCAAUGACACUUAACUGGUUUGAGAGGAUGAUCAGUCACACUGGAACUGAGACACGGUCCAG
RNAcentral lists this ribosomal RNA (310 nucleotides) under uncultured bacterium. RNAcentral's name for it is "bacterial SSU rRNA". It matches the Rfam family "Bacterial small subunit ribosomal RNA", at positions 30 to 334 of the family's 1533-position model. The record is from RNAcentral.